Molecule: ribosomal RNA, 406 nt
Filed under: uncultured bacterium
Lineage: Bacteria
Description: partial 16S ribosomal RNA
Rfam family: Bacterial small subunit ribosomal RNA
Source: RNAcentral
AUUGAACGCUGGCGGCAGGCCUAACACAUGCAAGUCGAGCGAGCGGCGGACGGGUGAGUAAUGUAUGGGGAACUGCCUGAUCGAGGGGGAUAACUACUGGAAACGGUAGCUAAUACCGCAUACUAUCUGAUGAGCCCAGAUGGGAUUGGCUUGUAGGUGGGGUAAUGGCUCACCUAGGCGACGAUCCCUAGCUGGUCUGAGAGGAUGAACAGCCACACUGUGACUGAGACACGGGCCAGACGCCUACGGGAGGCAGCGGUGGGGAAUAUUGCACAAUGGGGGCAAGCCUGAGGCGGCCAUGCCGCGAGUGUGAAGAGGGCCUUAGGGAUGUAAAGUACUUUCAGUCGGGAGGCGUUACUCGCAGAAGAAGCACCGGCUAACGCCGUGCCAGCAGCCGCGGUAAUUC